AUGGCGCCAUGGAUGUGGGUGGUGGUGCUGCUCCUUCCGGCAAGGUCCAGUAAGAAACGGCGCGAACGGGAGGCUGUAGGGAGUCGGGGAUGCUGCUGCUUGCUGGCGUCGGGAUUCCCUGGAGAAGAACGAGAGAGAGAAAAGUUCAGAGAGACAAAGAAAGAACUAGUGGGAGGGAGAGACCACGGGAAGGAGAGGGACGGCGCUCAUCUGCUGGCCGCGGGCGCGGUGCUCGGGGAGGAGCUCGAUGCGGCUGCGGGCUGGCUCCUCGGCCAGGAGGAGGGAGGAGUCGAGGGAGACAGUUGGGUGGAUGGGCAAAACGAGGUGGACCUGGGAAGAUCCCAAGGGGAAUGGUGA
This 357-nucleotide ribosomal RNA is filed under the name Triticum aestivum (bread wheat). Its description in RNAcentral is "partial small subunit ribosomal RNA". The record is from RNAcentral. Lineage: Eukaryota; Viridiplantae; Streptophyta; Magnoliopsida; Poales; Poaceae.